This 305-nucleotide ribosomal RNA is filed under the name uncultured bacterium. RNAcentral describes it as "bacterial SSU rRNA". It matches the Rfam family "Bacterial small subunit ribosomal RNA", at positions 495 to 799 of the family's 1533-position model. The record is from RNAcentral.
AUCUCCCUACGGGGGGCAGCAGCCGCGGUAAUACGUAGGUGGCGAGCGUUAUCCGGAAUGAUUGGGCGUAAAGGGUGCGUAGGCGGCCUGCUAAGUCUGGAGUGAAAGGUACCGGCUCAACCGGUACAGGCUCUGGAAACUGGCGGGCUAGAGAGCAGGAGAGGGCGGUGGAACUCCAUGCGUAGCGGUAAAAUGCGUAGAUAUAUGGAAGAACACCAGUGGCGAAGGCGGCCGCCUGGCCUGUUACUGACGCUGAGGCACGAAAGCGGGGGGAGCAAAUAGGAUUAGAACCCUGGUAGUCCGCA